RNAcentral lists this ribosomal RNA (670 nucleotides) under Salmonella enterica. Its description in RNAcentral is "partial 23S ribosomal RNA". It matches the Rfam family "Bacterial large subunit ribosomal RNA", at positions 2133 to 2802 of the family's 2925-position model. The record is from RNAcentral. Lineage: Bacteria; Pseudomonadati; Pseudomonadota; Gammaproteobacteria; Enterobacterales; Enterobacteriaceae. RNAcentral also lists the same sequence under 1 other name.
GAUGUGUAGGAUAGGUGGGAGGCUUUGAAGUGUGGACGCCAGUCUGCAUGGAGCCGACCUUGAAAUACCACCCUUUAAUGUUUGAUGUUCUAACGUGGACCCGUGAUCCGGGUUGCGGACAGUGUCUGGUGGGUAGUUUGACUGGGGCGGUCUCCUCCUAAAGAGUAACGGAGGAGCACGAAGGUUGGCUAAUCCUGGUCGGACAUCAGGAGGUUAGUGCAAUGGCAUAAGCCAGCUUGACUGCGAGCGUGACGGCGCGAGCAGGUGCGAAAGCAGGUCAUAGUGAUCCGGUGGUUCUGAAUGGAAGGGCCAUCGCUCAACGGAUAAAAGGUACUCCGGGGAUAACAGGCUGAUACCGCCCAAGAGUUCAUAUCGACGGCGGUGUUUGGCACCUCGAUGUCGGCUCAUCACAUCCUGGGGCUGAAGUAGGUCCCAAGGGUAUGGCUGUUCGCCAUUUAAAGUGGUACGCGAGCUGGGUUUAGAACGUCGUGAGACAGUUCGGUCCCUAUCUGCCGUGGGCGCUGGAGAACUGAGGGGGGCUGCUCCUAGUACGAGAGGACCGGAGUGGACGCAUCACUGGUGUUCGGGUUGUCAUGCCAAUGGCACUGCCCGGUAGCUAAAUGCGGAAGAGAUAAGUGCUGAAAGCAUCUAAGCACGAAACUUGCCCCGA